Molecule: ribosomal RNA, 468 nt
Filed under: uncultured bacterium
Lineage: Bacteria
Description: partial 16S ribosomal RNA
Rfam family: Bacterial small subunit ribosomal RNA
Source: RNAcentral
GACGAACGCUGGCGGCGUGCUUAACACAUGCAAGUCGAACGGAAAGGCCCUGCUUUUGUGGGGUGCUCGAGUGGCGAACGGGUGAGUAACACGUGAGUAACCUGCCCUUGACUUUGGGAUAACUUCAGGAAACUGGGGCUAAUACCGGAUAGGAGCUCCUGCUGCAUGGUGGGGGUUGGAAAGUUUCGGCGGUUGGGGAUGGACUCGCGGCUUAUCAGCUUGUUGGUGGGGUAGUGGCUUACCAAGGCUUUGACGGGUAGCCGGCCUGAGAGGGUGACCGGCCACAUUGGGACCGAGAUACGGCCCAGACUCCUACGGGGGGCAGCUGUGGGGAAUAUUGCACAAUGGGCGGAAGCCUGAUGCAGCAACGCCGCGUGCGGGAUGACGGCCUUCGGGUUGUAAACCGCUUUCGCCUGUGACGAAGCGUGAGUGACGGUAAUGGGUAAAGAAGCACCGGCUAACUACGUG